RNAcentral lists this microRNA precursor (88 nucleotides) under Aegilops tauschii subsp. strangulata. RNAcentral's name for it is "pre miRNA mir-598". Lineage: Eukaryota; Viridiplantae; Streptophyta; Magnoliopsida; Poales; Poaceae. The record is from RNAcentral.
AGAAGAAGAAGAAGAAGAAGAAGAAGAAGAAGAAGAAGGAGAAGAAAAUAAGUCUCCUUCUUUUUCUUCUUCUUCUUCUUCAUCUUCA